UAAGGACAAACAAUUAAUUUAGGAUGAAAGACUAGGAUUUCUUAUAAAAAUUUGAUUGGAGUAAUUACAUUGAAAAUCAUGUUGGGGACCCAUAGGGUCCCGGGUGAUCCAUAGGACCCCCCGGGUCCUAUUCGUAGGAUCACCCCUUUAUCAGCCCUUACCUGCCAAAAAGGGGAAAAAGAAAAAACGAAAACCAAAAGGGGAUCAGGGGAAUCCUACGAAUUCCCGGGGACCCCCCGUUCGGGGGGUCCUUCCGUACCCCUUUUUGGCGUGGGGGAGAAAAAAACUGGAAACUGAAACAUCUUAGUACCAGAAUAAAAAAUCAACCGAGAUCCCAAAAGUAGUGAGAACGAAAAUGGGGAAAUUUAUCGAACAAAGAGGGUAAAUAUUUAACAGUCCCGUAGAUAGAACAUAUGAAAAAGGAGAAAACUAGGGCCUACCGGGGACCCAGUGGGUCCCCCGAUGAAAUAGACGUCAAUUGGGGCCCCGCCCCCUUUUUCAAAAAAAAAAGAAAUACCGAUAGUGAAAUAGUACUGUGAAGGAAAGUUGAAAGAGAGUUGAAAUAGAACCGGAAAUCCUAAAAAAAAAGCAGUAGGUCUAUAGAGCCUGCGUACCUUUUGCAUAAGUGGUUCGCAAGUUUUUAAUUUGGCAAACUUGAACCGUAAGGUUGAGGUGUUACGAAAGUGAAAAAAAGUCAAAUGAACCCGAAACCAAGUGAUCUACCCCUGAUCUGGCGUGGGCGAAGGGUCCAAAAGGGCUCCGUGCCGCGGCCUAACCGGUGGAUGUGGCAAAAUCCUCGGAUGAAUUGGGGGUAGUGGUGAUACGCCAAUCGCACUUGGAUAUAGCUGGUUUUCUGCGAAAACUAUCUAAGUAGUGCCGACACUCCCUUUUUGUCGAGUCAGACAUAGGACGAUAAGGCCCUAUGUCUAAUGGGAAACAACCCAAAUCAUUAGUUAAGGACAUUAAUAAACCUAUAAGUGUAAAAGAAGAAAAAUAAUAAAGACAACGAGUUAAUAGGCCUUGCACCAGCUAUUUAAUAAAGAGUUCGUAAUAGUUCACUCGAUAAAUUAUUUUUCUUUUAAAAUUUUGGUGGCUUAAAAAAAAAUAAAAGGAGGAAUCCAGAGGACUUCUCCGCAAAAAAAAAGGAACGGAAGGACCCCCGAACGGGGGGUCCCGUCCCCCCCCCCCGCCAUCUUUUGGCGGGUCCUCCAUUUCAAAAGAAUUACAAAAAAAAUUCCGAAACUAUGAAAAGAAAAACCCGAGACGGAGGAUGGAGCCAUAGGCGCUUCCCAAACCCCCCCCGUUUUUUGGUUUUUUUAUUGGUAGCAGAACGUAUAGUAAAAAAUAAAAAUUCGAAAAGAAAAAUCUAUAGAGAUAAUGCGAACAUGAGUAACGAGGGAUCUGAAGGAUCCGGGCCUAAGGUUUCCAAGGGGCCUUUUUUGUUGGCCCCGGGUGAACCAGUCCCUAAUAACUAAAUAAAAGGGGGGAGUCCAUCGGAUUCCCCUUUUUUUAUAUUUUUAGCUACGGGGUUUUAAUCUAAAAUACUGAUUAAUAGCCCAGGAAAUAAUUAGAAUUUAUAUGACUGUACUAAAAUCUAACAAAAGUGGGCAAAAAAAAAAGGAGAAUUAUUAUUAAGGAACUCGGCAAGUUACACGUGUAAGAUUUCGAGAAACGUGAAAAACCCUUUAUGAGAAGGAAGCUUCCAAAAGAGUUUUUUUAAGAUAAAAGGGAGCCUCGCCUGUUUACCAAAAACAUAGUUUUCAGCUAUUAACGCAAAAGCUUCGUAUUGAAAAUGAUGCCUGCCCAAUGAUUGUAUCUGAAAGGAAAGAAGGGGGGGAGGGCCCCCCUUCGGGGGGGCCCUCCUGAGUGCUUAGCUUUCUAUAAGGACAAUUGAAUGGCCGCGGUAACUCUGACCGUGAUAAUGUAGCGAAAUCACUAGCCAGUUAAUUGCUGGCCUGUAUGAAUGGCUAAACGAGGGCUCCACUGUCUCAAUAAUAAACCUAGUGAAAUUGAAAUAACAGUGAAGAUGCUGUUUAGGAAUUCUAAGACGAGAAGACCCCAUUGAGCUUUACUAUUAACUUGUAUUGCCAGAGCAAAAAAGGGAACCCCAAAGGUUCCCGGGAUCCAACGGAUCCCUUAGGUACCCUGUCCUUUGCUUCAUAAUAAAAUUGUGAAGACUAAGUGGAAAAAGAUAAAACAAGGGAUUAAAAAAAAACGGGUCUCUGGGCCCCGGCUCUCAAAAGGCCCCUUGGCUUCUUGUCCCAAUUUAUAUGAAAAACCACUCUUUUUAUUAAGAUUACUGUCUAAAACCGUACAAGUAAGAUAGUUUGGUUGGGGCGACCGCCUUCGAAAAAGUAUCGAAGGCGCACAUAAGAUUAGUCCGGAGGGGGGUCCUACGGAUCCCCCUCCCGGGGGCAAUGCCCCAAAAAAGAUUAGUUUGACUGAAAGGGCUACAACCCGAACAGGCGCCUGGGGAUGGGGGGCGAUCCUUCGGAUCGCCCGGGUCCCCCUUUUGGCGGGUCAUAGUGAUCCGUUGUUAUAUUGUGGGAUUGACAACGAUCAACGAAGAAAAGUUACCAUGGGGAUAACAGCGUAAUAUCGUUUAAGAGUACCUAUCGCUGACGAUGUUUGCGACCUCGAUGUUGAAUUGUGAUAUCCUGGAGGUGCAGCAGCUUCCAAGGGUUGGACUGUUCGUCCAUUAAAAUCAUACAUGAUUUGAGUUCUAGACCGGCGUGAGCCAGGUCGGUUUCUAUCUAGAAUUCAAAAAUAAACAAAGACCAGUUUACCUUCUAGUACGAAAGGAUCGAAGGGUUUAUAUCCUCUGGUGAUUCAAUCCGAACACGAGAUCUUAGAAGGUCUUUUGGGGGAUUUUUUGGUUCCCGUUGUUGAGUAGCUACGAUAUAAAGAAUAAUUGCUGAAUGCAACUCAAGUAAGAAAUCUUUGGUUUGAAAAUUUUUAGUUGCGGGCGGGUCCGUUCGGGGGGUCCCGGGGCGCCGACGACUGGCGCCCCCCUCCUGGCUAAAAAAUUUGUUUAAAAACAAUUGGGGUAGAUCACCCCGGUUU
Molecule: ribosomal RNA, 3063 nt
Filed under: Hoilungia sp. H23
Lineage: Eukaryota; Metazoa; Placozoa; Uniplacotomia; Hoilungea; Hoilungidae
Description: 16S ribosomal RNA
Rfam family: Bacterial large subunit ribosomal RNA
Source: RNAcentral